This 485-nucleotide long non-coding RNA is filed under the name Carica papaya (papaya). Its description in RNAcentral is "long non-coding RNA (CPAP_LNC001845)". Lineage: Eukaryota; Viridiplantae; Streptophyta; Magnoliopsida; Brassicales; Caricaceae. The record is from RNAcentral.
UUCUGUAAAUAAACUCCAUCCUUCAACUGGCAAAACAAUACGUGUCUCUCUGAAUCUACAUCCUUCUAUGCCCUAGAUCCAUUUCUCUCUUUCUUUUUUUUUUUUCUCCUUUUCUUUCUCAAUCUCUCCACAAGCCCUAGAUCAUUUCUUGUAUUUAUCUCUUCUGGGUUUUAAAGUUUCAAUCUUUGUGUUCAUUUUACUCCUUUUUUUUUCUGUUUUUUUGUCCCCGGGUGCAUGCCUUUUUGUUAAAAGGAGCUAACCGUUUUCAAGGUAAGUGGUUUCUGUUGAAAUGUUCAGUUUCUUAAUACUUGUACGGGUAUUUUUUGUGGUUUGGGGUUGUGGGUACUUGGGGUUUUGUUAAGUGAUGAGUCAAAUGGUUUUUGUGUGUGAUUUGAUGGAGUGGAAAUUUGACUGCACAAAGAACUUUCAUUUUCAGGUUGUUGUCAAAUUAUGCUUAAUUCUGGUGGUUUUUGGAGUAUUGAGUG